GGCGGCCAUAGCGAAUUUCGGCAAGAUUUUACCCCAGUGAAAAAGGCUUGUAAUUUACCCUGAUCAGCUGAGAUGUUAUUUCACUGAAUUAUCUAAUGGAUAGACUUAUUGGGCAUAUAUUUGGAUAAUUCUGUCCUCAACCUGGAAGAUAUGUAUUGUUCCUAACCAUCUAUAAUCCAUUCUCUAUGAAGUUCAGACUGUCUGCUCUUCCUUUGGAAAUACACAGUUAGUCAACCAACAAAGAAACAAACAAACUUGAAGGAUUCUCUAGUGAGGGCUUAUGGAAAUGAUCUAUAUCUACUCUCAGAAUGGUGAAAGACUAUCAGAUUAAGCAAAGACUAACAGAAUAUCCUCUCUUGGAACACUGAAACAAGAAAAUCAAACAGGAGAUGAAUGGAGAUCAUAGAUAAAUAUGAUUUCCAACCAAUUUAACCAGUAUUAUCAUAGACUGUGGUUUACAGGAUGACAAAGAAAGGACCCAGGAUUGUAUCUUUUUACUGUCAGACACUGUCUAUGGAUAAGAUGUAGCUAUUUAUCAGACUGAGAUCUAGUCAAAUCAAGUACAAUUGUAUUGAAAACAUGAUUUUCUGAUAGCAUGAACUCUUUGAAAAUUAAUUCUCACGGACUUCAAAUUAUCUAAAUGUGACUUUUAUUUUUACCAAUUCCUAUUGAAGACAGUUGUUGUAUAUGAGAAGUAUACAUUUAAACCUUUUAUUUUGCAUCUUAUUUCUAUAACCCCCCCUAGAAAUUACACAGAUAUUCAGAUGCUAGAUUUAAUGUUAUUAUUACUUUCCUGGAAAUGUAAAUAUAUUUUGUUUGUGUAUGUAUCAUGUUUAAUUUUGAAUUUAAAAUUGGUCUGAAUAAGACCCCCAAUAAAGAUGCAAGUGUCCCAUAAUCUGUGGUUUAAUAAUAUCUUGAAUAUCUUUAUCAUACCAUAUUCAUCAUACUAAUUACAUAUAGAAUGGUUGUAGGAAUACACUUUGUUGUUUAGCACACUUUGUUGUUUAGCACACUUUGUCAAGGUCAAAGCAUAAGAUUAUUGAGAUGACUUCUUUGACAAUAAUUUGUAACUUACAAACUUCACAUCAUAAAUACACAGAUGAAGAAUCAAUAAGAUAUUUCUAUAGAUUUUUUGGAUCAUUUACUCCUGGGUAAAAGUUAGUUACUAACUGAGAUUACUGAUUUGAGUCCUGUAAUGCAAUAACUUAAACAUUGUGUGAUAACUUAUAGACUUUAUAAAAAUUAGGUGCAAAUUCUUAGGAAAGGAUUGAAAUGUUAAUCAAAUGUACAAUGUUCAAGGGUGUUUAUAUGACUAUUACUAUGUAAUACCUUAGAAUUCUGUAAAAAUUUUAUUAUCACUGCGUAGAUAAAGACUGGUUGGAAUAAUUUAUGUUUUGAAAUAAGGUUUAGGGAAAAAAGUCAAGAAUGUGGAUAUGACUUUUAUUCAAAUGGUGCAUUACAGCAACUCUGGUGAUUUACAUACCUUCAGUCAUAAAUACAUGUAGAUAGGUAUUUGGAAGACUCCGUUAGAUUUUGAAAUUUUU
Long non-coding RNA from Saccostrea cuccullata (small rock oyster), 1544 nucleotides. RefSeq lists it as uncharacterized. Lineage: Eukaryota; Metazoa; Mollusca; Bivalvia; Ostreida; Ostreidae. The record is from RefSeq and is a predicted model, not a curated record. The transcript is spliced from 4 exons.